Molecule: non-coding RNA, 29 nt
Filed under: Mus musculus (house mouse)
Lineage: Eukaryota; Metazoa; Chordata; Mammalia; Rodentia; Muridae
Source: RNAcentral
UGCCAGGCAUGUAUAAUAUAGAUGACGUA